Long non-coding RNA from Anolis carolinensis (green anole), 246 nucleotides. RefSeq lists it as uncharacterized. The transcript has 2 exons. NCBI's taxonomy places the organism in Eukaryota, Metazoa, Chordata, Lepidosauria, Squamata, Anolidae. The record is from RefSeq and is a predicted model, not a curated record.
UGCUGGUAUGGAGAGACCAGAAUACUGAUUCAGCCCAAGUAUCUGUAACACAGGGUGAAUUUUAAUACCCCUUUGCUACCCUAUUGGCUAAAAAUACACAUUGAUUUCUCCUUGAACUUUGAGUUGCUAUGUCUCCAGUCUCAGGGAAUGAUGAUGCUUUCCCACCUCUUCAUCCAUGGAGAAAAAUCUUGAGGACAGCAGUAUUGAAGGAGAAUAUUUGAAUUUUUAAAAACAUCAUCAUCAUUA